Long non-coding RNA from Astatotilapia calliptera (eastern happy), 2156 nucleotides. The record is from Ensembl. Lineage: Eukaryota; Metazoa; Chordata; Actinopteri; Cichliformes; Cichlidae.
GCUCUAUCUGCAAACAUACAGAGACAGCAAUUUCUUUCAGUUAGCAGUCGAUCAAGUGGCCCAACGUGAAAGUACUGAUAUGAAGCUCACGUUGCUUGUCCGGGAGACAGGGGGAAAGAGGCAACAGGUGAGCUUAAAUAUGGUGCAUGCAUAGCAGCAUGUAAUGUGGAAAACAAAAAUGAACACAAAAAUGCAAGAUUAACACAAAAUGAAAGUGUGCUUUUAAGAAAUAACUACAAAGAGCUUCAUAUAAAAGAGAGCAGUCUCUCUCAGGCUCCUUCAGUGUUCAUUUCGCUCUUGUGAAGGGAUGCUGGAGAACCUAGACCAGUUUGUCUGUUCACUUGUCUGUUCAUCUGGCAUUCAAUGAGAUAAAGAUUUAUGGUCCCAGUGACUGAAAAACAAUAGUCCCUAAAGUAAAACCAAAGGCACAUUUUGAAGGUUGUCAUGGUCCUGGGCCAUGUGGGCCCAGCAUUCUUAGUUUUCAUGUAUUUUUGUAUUUUGUUCUUUAUUUAGGCCAUGCUUCCUGGGUUGAUCUGUUACGUUGUUCCUUAUGUGUUUUCCCUUCGUGACUCUUACCCCCUGUGUGCCCCUCUGUGUAUUUAUGAGCCCUCGUCUCCCUUUGUGGUUGUUUCAUGUUUCCCCAGCCCGUUAUGUCUGUGUUUUUCCCCGUGCUCUCUCUCCUCCUGUCUGAACCUCUGUGCCUGUACAUGUCAUGUUCAGUUCACCCAGCCCUGUCUCGUUAUGAUUAUCAGUGUCACCUGUGUUCCCCGUGUGUGCCCACUUUCCUCGUUUACCCUCUGUGUAUUUCUGUCUGAGUCUCCCUCUGUUCGGUGUCGUGUUCUCCCUCAUGCUGUGUGUGAUUCCCCUGUGUUCCUUGGUGAGCUUUAUGUUAGUUUUUCCCAGUUUAGUUUUGUAUUGUUUCUCGUGGCCAGCAAUAAAGCUGUGUUUUUGAGUUCACCCCCGUGUCGUACUACGGUGUACAUUUUAGGACAUCGUCAGGUAUCAGACAAAAAAUUGUCAGGUGUCAGUUGUCAAAAAAAAAAGUUGUCAGGUAUCAGAAAAAAAAUUGUCAGGUGUCAGAAAAAAAAUUGUCAGGUGUCAGUUGUCAAAAAAAAAAAAAGUCAGGUAUCAGAAAAAAAAUUGUCAGGUGUCAGAAAAAAAAUUGUCAGGUGUCAGUUGUCAAAAAAAAAAAAGUCAGGUAUCAGAAAAAAAAUUGUCAGGUGUCAGAAAAAAAGUUGUCAGGUGUCAGAAAAAAAGUUGUCAGGUGUCAGAAAAAAAAUUGUCAGGUGUCAGAAAAAAAGUUGUCAGGUGUCAGAAAAAAAGUUGUCAGGUGUCAGACAAAAAAUUGUCAGGUGUCAGUUGUCAAAAAAAAAAAAGUCAGGUAUCAGAAAAGAAAUUGUCAGGUGUCAGAAAAAAAGUUGUCAGGUGUCAGAAAAAAAGUUGUCAGGUGUCAGACAAAAAAGUUGUCAGGUGUCAGAAAAAAAAUUGUCAGGUAUCAGAACACAAGGUACCAGAGAGAAAAUCUUCCUGCAGGUGGCGCUGUUGUCAUGUCCCACCCGAAUUGAUUUCCAAAUACGUCAUCAACGUGUGACCGUGGGAGAGCGUAAGGUCAUUGACCUCACCGGAGUUUUACCGUGGUUCAGGCUCCUAACGACACAAGACUUUGCUGCAAUAUGUCAUCUGACGAUGAUGAAAGGAGUAUCCGACUCUGGCUGGUUCCCAUGACUGUACCAAAAAUACUUUUUUUUUUAUUAAAAAAAGAGCAUUAAAAAUAAAUGACUAAAGUACAACUUAUUUAUUAACUACUGUUCACCUAUUUAAUAUCAAAGAAGUGUAUUUUUUGCUACACGUUUUAUUUGUGGGCACUGAAUUGACGAUGCUUUUAGUGUAAUUGCCACAUAAAAAGAUUUAGUACUUUACUGGUUAAUUACUUAUGUUCAGUGUAAGAGGUGGGUGAUCAAUUAGACUGUUGUUGUUACACUUAACCUUUCAAGAUAUGAUGAUAAUAACAUUGUUCAACAAAGGCUUAAAACAAAAGGAAAUCAGCUGUGCACUGAAUUCAUAUGGGCAUAAAAUAAGUGAGAGGCAUCUGAGACGAGUUUUAAAACUUCUAGGGUUGAAGCGAAGAUGCCCCCAACGACCUUUUACUGAAAUCC